AAGCUGAAUACUUCUGUCUCAGCCACCAGCUCUCAGGAACUUAUUGAAGUGGGAAAGGAAUGGAAGAUUUGUACUUUCUAAGAGAAGCACAUAGUCACAGAAAUAGCUGCUGAUGCUCUGGGAGGAUAGUGGAAGGAUUAUGAGUGAUCCGAAUCUGUAGUGGGAAUGACAAACAAAGUUUUUCCAUAAAUCAGUGUCCUGACCAACGUCUGACUAUGUCUGUUGUUGAUUAAUGAGAAUUAACUAAUUCUUGUUCUAAACCAAGGAGAACUGGAGAGAAGAAGCACAAGUCUGUUUGGAGUACAUUGUGGGUGCCAUUGUGUUCUCAACUUGGCUAGUGUAAAAAUAACAGAGAGAAAGAGAGAGAGAGAACUAACAGGAUCCAAAUGCCUUCAAUCUCUCUAAAGAAGGUGAUGUCUGAAUAUAUGUUGUCAGAAUUAAGAGAGUAAGAAGGCCAGAACCAAAGCACCCAAAGUUCAGCAUCUUGUUACCACACAUGUCCUGCAGUACAAAUGACAACAUACUGUUCAGAAGAAAAAGCACACUAAGGAACAUAAGAAAGAGGCUAAAGAAUAUGCUAAACUUUUGAUAAAGAGAAAGAAGAAAGCCAAAGGAAAACACACCAUGAACAGGUAGAUUGGAAAGAGGCAUUGGCUGUGCUCACUGAGAGCUUCUACUUCUAAGUCUUAGUCCAGCCAAAAA
This 702-nucleotide long non-coding RNA is filed under the name Mus musculus (house mouse). Its description in RNAcentral is "long non-coding RNA chrX:155185678-155186380". Lineage: Eukaryota; Metazoa; Chordata; Mammalia; Rodentia; Muridae. The record is from RNAcentral.